UACGUAGGGCGCAAGCGUUGUCCGGAAUUAUUGGGCGUAAAGAGCUCGUAGGCGGUCCGUUGCGUCUGCCGUGAAAACCCGAGGCUUAACCUCGGGCCUGCGGUGGAUACGGGCGGACUAGAGGUAGGUAGGGGAGAAUGGAAUUCCCGGUGUAGCGGUGAAAUGCGCAGAUAUCGGGAGGAACACCGGUGGCGAAGGCGGUUCUCUGGGCCUUACCUGACGCUGAGGAGCGAAAGCGUGGGGAGCGAACAGG
RNAcentral lists this ribosomal RNA (253 nucleotides) under uncultured bacterium. RNAcentral's name for it is "partial 16S ribosomal RNA". It matches the Rfam family "Bacterial small subunit ribosomal RNA", at positions 524 to 776 of the family's 1533-position model. The record is from RNAcentral.